GGAACUAGGAGGCCCCGCCCAGGAAGUCUGGGAGCUGACGUCACUGCCUCCCAGAAGCCAGCUCCGCGGGUGCGGGUCCCGGGAGGUGGGAGGCAGCUCCCCUCCCCACCCCCGGCUGAGCCCCUGCUGGCUGCUCGGGUCUCUGGCUCUCGUCCUCCUCGUCUGACCUCCUGGCCAGCCUCCUGUCUAGGAAGAGAAGGGAAAGACAUCUCCCUCCCCUGCUAAGUUUGCAGAGGAUCAAGGCCUGGCCUGAGCUGGAGGGAAUGGCCCCAGGGAGCUGCAGACCCCCACCUCGGGGAGUCUGGAUUCAGAGGGAAUGGCCCCCGGGAGCAGCCGAGCCCCAGCCCAGGUGAGUGCAGUCCACCCCCAGACCUGACUGUCAUCAGCAAUCAG
This 393-nucleotide long non-coding RNA is filed under the name Phascolarctos cinereus (koala). RNAcentral describes it as "lncRNA (ENSPCIG00000034688.1)". The record is from RNAcentral. Lineage: Eukaryota; Metazoa; Chordata; Mammalia; Diprotodontia; Phascolarctidae.